Molecule: unclassified non-coding RNA, 1165 nt
Filed under: Hevea brasiliensis (rubber tree)
Lineage: Eukaryota; Viridiplantae; Streptophyta; Magnoliopsida; Malpighiales; Euphorbiaceae
Source: RNAcentral
ACCUCUUUUACAGCAAAAAAGAAUCCAUCGUCAGAGAUUCCUUCAUACACCGAUCCGAACGACCCACGUCCAAGAAGCUCUCCUUUUUCCCAGUAAUUAAUAAUCCUUCUAAAUCUCUCAUUCGGCGAAAUGUUGGACAUGGGCUCCGUGGUUGUACUCGAUGAAUCAUCAUCAUUGGAUGUGGUAAACGAAUAUGACCCCGAUAAAACAGCAAUUACCCCUGGCCUCAACAAAUUAUCAUCCUCUUCCCUCUUAAUAGCAACUGCAUUAAAUCCUUGUUCACCUAGUCCUUCUUCCACAUCAUCAGAGUUGAAGUGUCCAUUAGCCAGUACCAAGGACCCUCUAUCGUUUUCAGGCGCAAAAUCCCUUAAUAUAUCCCAAGUCGAACAAGCGUUAUCGAUCACUGGUAAUGUCAUUGAAGGCGGCGGCUUCAACAACGGCGGCCUAACCCCUUUGAUUCCCCCUGAGGGACCGCAACACGAAUUUAACUUAGCCGACUCAACCGGCUCAUCCCGAGUCAACUCAGCAGCGUCGCUAAUUCUAACACUAUCGAAAACCCUAGUACACAAUUCACUCUCCUCCUGCUUCUGCAUCUGAUGAUGAUGUUGUUUCUCGUCCCCUAUCCUGGGACUAUCUGCCUCGUGCAAUCUGGACCGGGGUAGAAGAUCCGACGCCGACCGGACUUUCAUCGCUUCCCAAGCCGCCGCCGGAAUUGCGAAAUCUUCAGGACCCGACAACCCCAGGCUCCGACAAAUGCGGUCAAACUCACCAUCCGUUCCCUCAAUCCUAAAACUAGUCCGAUCUGGCAAAUCAAGAGAUCUAGUAACCAGAGACGACGAUGAAGAGUCGUCCAGAGAUGAGCAGUACGACGCCGCCUCGUACUCAAUAUGCUUCGCCGCAUUUCGGCGAUCCAGCCUCGGCCCUCUACGAUUCUUAGGGUCCAUAGGGCCGCCUCUCUUGCUAUGAGUGAAAAAUCGAGGUAUGUGAUGCAUAGAGACCUAAAUCCAUCUAAAUCUCCAAAAGAUUAAAUUCCCGAGAACCAAACAACAACCUUUAUAAAAACAGUGACGGCUCAGGCGCUGUGAAUUUGGGUGAUAUUUUUGGAGCUGACCACAGAGAGUCGUAAUGGUUGAAAAGAGAUCGAGUGAGAAACUUUUGAGCCUGC